Molecule: ribosomal RNA, 501 nt
Filed under: uncultured bacterium
Lineage: Bacteria
Description: partial 16S ribosomal RNA
Rfam family: Bacterial small subunit ribosomal RNA
Source: RNAcentral
AUUGAACGCUGGCGGCAGGCUUAACACAUGCAAGUCGAGCGGAGAUGAGGUGCUUGCACCUUAUCUUAGCGGCGGACGGGUGAGUAAUGCUUAGGAAUCUGCCUAUUAGUGGGGGACAACAUUCCGAAAGGAAUGCUAAUACCGCAUACGUCCUACGGGAGAAAGCAGGGGAUCUUCGGACCUUGCGCUAAUAGAUGAGCCUAAGUCGGAUUAGCUAGUUGGUGGGGUAAAGGCCUACCAAGGCGACGAUCUGUAGCGGGUCUGAGAGGAUGAUCCGCCAAGCUGGGACUGAGACACGGGCCAGACUCCUACGGGAGGCAGCAGUGGGGAAUAUUGGACAAUGGGGGAAACCCUGAUCCAGCCAUGCCGCGUGUGUGAAGAAGGCCUUAUGGUUGUAAAGCACUUUAAGCGAGGAGGAGGCUACUGAGACUAAUACUCUUGGAUAGUGGACGUUACUCGCAGAAUAAGCACCGGCUAACUCUGUGCCAGCCGCCGCAGUAA